GCGGUUAUGGCCGAGUGGUUAAGGCGACAGACUUGAAAUCUGUUGGGCAUCGCCCGCCUAGGUUCAAACCCUAGUGACCGCG
Ditylenchus destructor is the source of this 82-nucleotide non-coding RNA. Lineage: Eukaryota; Metazoa; Nematoda; Chromadorea; Rhabditida; Anguinidae. The record is from the annotation of a GenBank genome assembly.